AAAAUUGUAGUAUAAGUUAGUAUAUCUCGUUGUCGAUGAGGGGGUUGUUGAUUUUG
RNAcentral lists this transfer RNA (56 nucleotides) under Toxocara vitulorum. Its description in RNAcentral is "tRNA-Asp". Lineage: Eukaryota; Metazoa; Nematoda; Chromadorea; Rhabditida; Toxocaridae. The record is from RNAcentral.